UGACCUUAGCAUGGGUCUUUUUCCUAAGUCAAUUUUUCACUCUGCCAACUUUUUCCUUCUCUCUCUAAAAACUCAUCUUCUAAAUAUUGCUCUGCCUUCUCUCUAAAAUAUCACCCUGUUCAACAGUUCAAUUUUUGAAUAGGUGCUGCUCAAACGUUCACCGCAUCAAGGGCUCCGUAACGGACCGAACGGGUUCUUGUUCCAACCGGAUAAAGGAGACUUAAAAACGCACAUCCCUGAUCAUAGAGCAGCUCUGGCCUGGUCCAGUACGUUGUGACUAGUCAUAUGUGCUAGCACCGAAGGAUGUAUGUAUGGUGUUCUUGAGUGGUUGUAAAGCAUAUGAAUGUGAACUAUGAUGUAAUUGAGUAUGAAGUGGACAUCUCAGGUUGAGAUGAUUGAAAGUGAUGUGUGGGGUGUUGUGGUUGUUCUGUAUAACUGUAUGGAGCUUUGAACUGAUAUGUCUAUCCCUACACUCGAAGCAUUGUUCAUGCUCAAAUAGAGGAGUAGAAGGAGGUUUUCGUCUAUAGUCUUAGAGUUUAGACAUAAACAGAUGGGGGAUUUACCUUGCAUAGUGUUGGGGAGUGUCAGUUGAACUAUGCAAGUGCAAAGACGACAGUUAUACCAAUACGAAUGAGUCGUGUGAGUGUUUGAGUCAUGCUUUAAAGUGGUAUGUCUUGAUUGUUCUUUAUAUGUAGCUA
This is a long non-coding RNA of Vigna angularis (adzuki bean), 698 nucleotides long. RefSeq lists it as uncharacterized. NCBI's taxonomy places the organism in Eukaryota, Viridiplantae, Streptophyta, Magnoliopsida, Fabales, Fabaceae. The transcript is spliced from 3 exons. The record is from RefSeq and is a predicted model, not a curated record.